AGCAGCAGCCGCGGUAAUGCGUAGGGUGCAAGCGUUAAUCGGAAUUACUGGGCGUAAAGCGUGCGCAGGCGGUUUGUUAAGACAGAUGUGAAAUCCCCGGGCUUAACUUGGGAACUGCAUUUGUGACUGGCAAGCUAGAGUAUGGCAGAGGGGGGUGGAAUUCCGCGUGUAGCAGUGAAAUGCGUAGAUAUGCGGAGGAACACCGAUGGCGAAGGCAGCCCCCUGGGCCAAUACUGACGCUCAUGCACGAAAGCGUGGGGAGCAAACAGGAUUAGAUACCCCUGUAGUCCCUGUCUCUUAUAC
RNAcentral lists this ribosomal RNA (303 nucleotides) under uncultured bacterium. RNAcentral's name for it is "partial 16S ribosomal RNA". It matches the Rfam family "Bacterial small subunit ribosomal RNA", at positions 507 to 807 of the family's 1533-position model. The record is from RNAcentral.